Long non-coding RNA from Mizuhopecten yessoensis (Yesso scallop), 892 nucleotides. RefSeq lists it as uncharacterized. The record is from RefSeq and is a predicted model, not a curated record. The transcript has 3 exons. Lineage: Eukaryota; Metazoa; Mollusca; Bivalvia; Pectinida; Pectinidae.
AUCCGGGUCUUUUAGUAAUGGCGGCUACUUGCAGCAUGGAGAGUAGCAGAAAGAAACACUAAAGAACACAGGUUGUCAAGUCUCUACUGGAUAUCAAAGACCUGCAAAAACAUAUUCUUCGCUCCAAAAAUCAGGAAAGAGCUAGACCCUCUAUAGUUGAUGAUAUGGUAUGUGGUGAUGUGCUAAUAACUUGCGAUUGGGCUAUGAAGUUCCUUCCACGUAAAUUUAGGGAAGCCAAGAUGGACUGGUAUGCUAAAAGUGGCAUCAAUUGGCAUGUUUCUGUUUCGCUGAUCAAAACAAUGGAUACAUUCCAAACAACAACACACAUCCAUUUGUUUACUGGACAGACACCCCAAGACUCUGCAUUUACAGUUGAAGUCUUAUAUGAUGUUGUCAGGGAUUUGAAGCAAACUCUUCCAUGCCUAAAGAAAGUACACUUCUUUAGUGACAAUGCUGGAUGUUACAAGAGCUCAUUAAGUCUUACAACAUUGAAAGUAGAACUUGGGAAUCAGCUAGCCUAGCCACCUACAAUUUUUGUGAAGCUCAGAAUGGGAAAGGUAAAAUUAUAAAAUGGACAGACCUCAAUCCCACGAGGAACCAUGUACACCUGAAGAAUGUUUCAAGUUGGACUGAAAUUAAUGAUCUUCUUUAUUCUAAUGGUAAUUUUGUUUUAACUCACACCUCAGAAUAUAUUAGCUUUGUCUGUAUUUUGUCACUUUUACUUUUAAAAAACCCACUAAACAGAUUUAUAAUUCAGAGUUGUUUCUCAAAUAAAAAAUGUGUCAAUUAUGAUUACUAAUUGAUAAGCAUGUCCUCUUGUCCCCUGCCACAAUAUGAUGCGGGACAAAGAAAUGCAAGUGUCUUCCUUAACAAGUCAACAUAUCUCAAUGGA